RNAcentral lists this non-coding RNA (137 nucleotides) under Foraminifera environmental sample. Lineage: Eukaryota; Foraminifera. The record is from RNAcentral.
UCAAUCCGCCAAUACCUGUCAACAGAUGUACAGUGUGAUUAUUCCGUUGUUGGUUAAGUAUCUGGCCGAGCCGGAGCUGGAUAAAGCGGACGAACAAUAUAAGAAGCUGAAGGAUGUCAUUCUGUCGUACAUUGCCG